CAUUUGGUAAGUGACAUCGAAGCUUUCGUUGGUAUUUAUCAAAGAGCACUUCACUAAAGCAGCGUUUCGCCGUGCCCACACCGAGACCCUGCUUUUUUUG
Molecule: regulatory RNA element, 100 nt
Rfam family: 23S methyl RNA motif
Source: Rfam